This 1499-nucleotide ribosomal RNA is filed under the name uncultured bacterium. RNAcentral describes it as "bacterial SSU rRNA". It matches the Rfam family "Bacterial small subunit ribosomal RNA". The record is from RNAcentral.
AUGGCUCAGGAUGAACGCUAGCGACAGGCCUAACACAUGCAAGUCGAGGGGCAUCGGGGCGAGGAGCAAUCCUUGCCGCCGGCGACCGGCGCACGGGUGAGUAACGCGUAUGCGACCUGCCCGUUGCAGGGGGAUAAUCGGGGGAAAUCCCGUCUAAUACCGCGUAAUGCCGCGGGGCUGCAUGGCCCUGCGGCCAAAGGGAGCGAUUCCGGCAACGGAUGGGCAUGCGUGACAUUAGCUAGUUGGCGGGGCAACGGCCCACCAAGGCGACGAUGUCUAGGGGUUCUGAGAGGAAGGUCCCCCACACUGGUACUGAGACACGGACCAGACUCCUACGGGAGGCAGCAGUGAGGAAUAUUGGUCAAUGGGCGCGAGCCUGAACCAGCCAAGUCGCGUGAUGGAUGACGGCCCUACGGGUUGUAAACCUCUUUUGUCGGGGAGCAAAUUCCGCCACGUGUGGCGGAGUCGAGAGUACCCGAAGAAAAAGCGUCGGCUAACUCCGUGCCAGCAGCCGCGGUAAUACGGAGGAUGCGAGCGUUAUCCGGAUUUAUUGGGUUUAAAGGGUGCGUAGGCGGACUGUCAAGUCAGCGGUAAAAUACGGGGGCUCAACCUCCGCCCGCCGUUGAAACUGACGGUCUUGAGUGGGCGAGAAGUAUGCGGAAUGCGUGGUGUAGCGGUGAAAUGCAUAGAUAUCACGCAGAACUCCGAUUGCGAAGGCAGCAUACCGGCGCCCGACUGACGCUGAAGCACGAAAGCGUGGGUAUCGAACAGGAUUAGAUACCCUGGUAGUCCACGCAGUAAACGAUGAAUACUAGCUGUCCGGGGCGAAUGAGCCCUGGGUGGCACAGCGAAAGCGUUAAGUAUUCCACCUGGGGAGUACGCCGGCAACGGUGAAACUCAAAGGAAUUGACGGGGGCCCGCACAAGCGGAGGAACAUGUGGUUUAAUUCGAUGAUACGCGAGGAACCUUAUCCGGGCUCAAACGACACAGGAACGUACCUGAAAGGGUUCGGCUCUACGGAGCCUGUGUUGAGGUGCUGCAUGGUUGUCGUCAGCUCGUGCCGUGAGGUGUCGGCUUAAGUGCCAUAACGAGCGCAACCCCCAUCGACAGUUGCUAACAGGUCAGGCUGAGGACUCUGUCGAGACUGCCGGCGCAAGCUGCGAGGAAGGCGGGGAUGACGUCAAAUCAGCACGGCCCUUACGUCCGGGGCGACACACGUGUUACAAUGGCAGGUACAGCGGGAAGCCACCUGGCGACAGGGAGCGGAACCCGAAAGCCUGUCUCAGUUCGGAUUGGAGUCUGCAACCCGACUCCAUGAAGCUGGAUUCGCUAGUAAUCGCGCAUCAGCCACGGCGCGGUGAAUACGUUCCCGGGCCUUGUACACACCGCCCGUCAAGCCAUGGAAGCACGGGGGUGCCUGAAGUGCGCUGCCGCGAGGAGCGCCCUAGGGUAAAACUCGGUAAUCUGGGAGCUAGAGUUCGUAACCAACGGUAACGCGU